GCGGCCCCAAGUCAGGCGAGACCACCCGCCGAAUUUAAGCAUAUCAAA
RNAcentral lists this ribosomal RNA (48 nucleotides) under Curcuma parviflora. RNAcentral describes it as "partial 26S ribosomal RNA". The record is from RNAcentral. Lineage: Eukaryota; Viridiplantae; Streptophyta; Magnoliopsida; Zingiberales; Zingiberaceae.